RNAcentral lists this ribosomal RNA (391 nucleotides) under uncultured bacterium. RNAcentral's name for it is "bacterial SSU rRNA". It matches the Rfam family "Bacterial small subunit ribosomal RNA", at positions 28 to 423 of the family's 1533-position model. The record is from RNAcentral.
GACGAACGCUGGCGGCGUGCUUAACACAUGCAAGUCGAACGGUAAGGCCCUUCGGGGUACACGAGUGGCGAACAGGUGAGUAACACGUGGGUGAUCUGCCCUGCACUUCGGGAUAAGCCUGGGAAACUGGGUCUAAUACCGGAUAGGACUCCUGGCUUCAUGGUUGGGAGUGUAAAGCUUUUGCGGUGUGGGAUGGGCCCGCGGCCUAUCAGCUUGUUGGUGGGGUAAUGGCCUACCAAGGCGACGACGGGUAGCCGGCCUGAGAGGGUGACCGGCCACACUGGGACUGAGAUACGGCCCAGACUCCUACGGGAGGCAGCAGUGGGGAAUAUUGCACAAUGGGCGCAAGCCUGAUGCAGCGACGCCGCGUGAGGGAUGACGGCCUUCGGUU